Molecule: ribosomal RNA, 204 nt
Filed under: uncultured Desulfobulbus sp.
Lineage: Bacteria; Pseudomonadati; Thermodesulfobacteriota; Desulfobulbia; Desulfobulbales; Desulfobulbaceae
Description: partial 16S ribosomal RNA
Rfam family: Bacterial small subunit ribosomal RNA
Source: RNAcentral
AUGACGUCAAGUCCUCAUGGCCUUUAUGACCAGGGCUACACACGUACUACAAUGGCCGAUCAAAGGGCAGCGACACUGCGAGGUGAAGCCAAUCCCGUAAAAUACGGUCUCAGUCCGGAUUGGAGUCUGCAACUCGACUCCAUGAAGUUGGAAUCGCUAGUAAUCGUGGAUCAGCAUGCCACGGUGAAUACGUUCCCGGGCCUU